RNAcentral lists this unclassified non-coding RNA (452 nucleotides) under Leucoblepharis subsessilis. RNAcentral's name for it is "partial external transcribed spacer". Lineage: Eukaryota; Viridiplantae; Streptophyta; Magnoliopsida; Asterales; Asteraceae. The record is from RNAcentral.
UUGGUUUGUUUCAGGUGGUUGGCUGUUUGCUUGUGCUACAACUUCCACCCGGCUUACCUUUUCAGUUUUGCGUCAAGGCUUUUGUCACCUUAGCGCAUUGUGGGUUUCCUGUGUUGCAUACCUAAKGGAAGGAAUUAAUUUGGCUUAUCAAUGUCCUCUUUCGUCUUGUGUUGCAUUUGUGGCAUGGGAUGAACCUUGAAGCAGCUUCUUUGAUCCACAUGGUUGACAAAAUUGUUGAUUUUGUGGCUCAUUGGGUAUUGCUUGGUUCCGUGAAUACAGAAUCUGAUUUGGGCAUGUGGUCUUUUUACGGGAUCACUGUUUUGCCCUUGUUAAAGAGUUAUGCUUCUCUAAGAUGACAACCUAUCAUGCGUUGGCUUUGCUCCGGUGUGMUGGGUUAUGUCAAAGAGGAMUGCUACCUGGUUGAUCCUGCCAGUAGUCAUAUGCUUGUCUCA